GUGACGGGAGACCGGCCCCACCCGCGCCGCGGGAUGGUGCCCGGAGGGGACGCGCUCGGACCCGGUUCCCCAGCCGUCUGGGAAGGUGGCGGCCGCGUUCGCGCAGGAGAGCGGGCAGCGCCCUAAUUUGACGUCCUUUCUCCUCCUGAGCUGCACUAGCUUCCGAGGCUGUGCAGGGUCUCCACCUGGGUUACCAUCGUCACCGCCCAUCGCGGGAAAACGAGAUUCACCUGCCGCCAAGCCCUCCCGGCUCUGGCUUUCCUCUAAGGAGCUUUGAUUGCCCUCCCAAUUUUUCUCUCCAGCUACUUAAGGGAACCGGGCAACCUUGGAACCACUCGAGCUCUAGAAGAUAUUUCGAUGCCAAGGCUCCCCCAUUGCGACUAUCCCUGGGCCUUUGUCCUGGCUAGUCCCCUGCCAGCUCGCUAUUUCCUCUCGCGGUCUCCAAAUCUUGCCAUUUCUUCAAGACUCGGACGGAAGCCUCCCUCCUGCAAGAAGCCUCCCCUGACUGUCCUGGAGCAGCCGACCGCGCGGAGCCCGCACCCUCGAGCGGUCGGGCUAGUCUGCCCAACGAGGCAACCACCUUGCCCACGCCAAGGCCCACGCCAGCUCUCUUGGAGCUCCGGGAGGUUAUCCCCACUUGAUCCCUCUUGUCAGUGGCUCUCAAACAGUAGAAUCACGGAGAGGAGACUUUAAGAACAAAAAUACGCAGGGCUCUGCUGCUGCUGCUGGAAAUCUGAUAUCAUAGGUGAUGAAAUUGGUCUGGUCUAGGAUCUUAGCUUGGGUAUUUUUUAAGCUCCUUUCCCAUUCUAAGAAUCACUUGGGAAGUUAUUUGUUUAAAUGCUGAUUCUGUACAGCUCCUCAAGAUUCUGACUUAAUGGAUUCUGGGGUCUGGUUAGGAAUCUUCGUUUGCAUAUCACACACACAUACACACAUACAUAUCCUGGUGUAGAUUGUUCCGGGACCACAUUGUAAUUCUCAUUACCUUACCACCCUCUUACAAUGUGGACUGUAGCUCUGCCCCUGCAUGCAUGCACACACCCCUGCUCGCUCACUCGCUCGCGCUCUCUCGCUCACUCGCUCGCGCUCUCUCGUGCGCUCUCUCUCUCCCCCCUCCCCCCACAAGGUUUGUGUUCUCUCAAAGGAGCAUGUAGCAUUGUUCUUUCUUCUGGUUCCUCAAUUGAUUCUCUACUUCAGCACCUCUGAAAUGUGAAUGUGCAGGUGCAUACCUGGGCUUCGUGUUAAAAGGCAGAUUCUAACAGUUGGUUUGGGAUGGAGGCUGAGAUUCCUUGCAAACCUCCAGGUGCUGCUGAGUUGCUGAUCUGAAGACCACACUUGGAGAAGUAAGAAUCUAGGAGUUAUUUAUUAUUCAUGGAAUAAAUAUAUUUUCCUUCAAGUUCCAGCUGCCCUAGUUCACUAAGCCAUUCUUGUCUCCUCCAGAAAGAUUUCUCUGACUCCAGCUCCCCCUGGGUGCUCCUUUUUGUGAACUGUAACUGUUUAAUAAUUCACUGCUUAUUUCAAGUGUGAGGCAGGAAAUGUGGUGCUUGUCUGAUCCUCGUUUCCACUCACCCACCCACAUCUACCUGGAUGCCAAAGACACAGUGUUCCCCCAAUCUCUACUGAUUGGGAGAUAAUAUUAGCUUACAUUCUUGGAGGACAUACCGCGUGCCAGGCACCUUGCUAAGUGUUUUACGUGCAUUGUCUCCGUUACUCAACUACUAUCCUUUACAAAGGAAGAAAUCAAGGCAAGUCUCCUGUUUAAACUCUAGAACCACAGCCCACAGUGGUACCGCCCCCUAGGGGAUAUUUUGGAAACUUGCAGGUGCUUUAAUUUGUUACCCCAAUGAGGGGCAGAGCUAGGCUGUGGCAUUUAGUAGAGGAGGGUCAGGGAUACUGGGGUCCUGCCUUGCACAGAACGUUGCAGCACAAUGAAGAUUAUUAGUGUCCCACAUGGCUUUUAUAUGUCAGGCUGGACAUUUGGGUUGGUUAAAAUGUGCUUCUAAUUACAUUAGAAUCCUAACUCUGUUUUACAUAUAAACACAAAAUAUUUUGCACCACACUGAAUUUUCUGUAAAUGCAACUGUAUACGUCCAGGGAAAAUCGCACUUUGCUCACUGUUUUGGAAAAGCAGGAUACUGAAGCCAGUUCCACUCAUGGCCUCUGAGUCAGCAAUCAAUACAUCUGUGCCAGUCGAAUGUAUAACUGCCACACGGGCCCAGUAAUUCCAUGUACAUGAAUAUUUUUAUUUAGUUCUUAUUUCAAAAUGUCAAAAAAAGGUGUCAAUAAUAUUCCAGAGUCUUGUCUUAAAUUAUAAGUAGGUGCAAAUACCUCACUACUUCCCUUUGACUUGUGAGGCAAUUCUGACUAAGCAUCUAUAAAAGCAAAUACAUAUUAGACUUUUUUGGCUUUAUUUUUAACCCUCCUUUAUUAUGAUUAUGUCAUUAUAUUGAUGUUUGAGCGUGUAAGUGUUAGCUAUGAAAUCCAUUUCUUGACCACCUAGUGAAUAAUACAAAAUAACCGUUCUCAAAAGGGAGCCCUAAGUAUCACAGCCAAGAGGAGCCUAAGAAGACACAACUAAAUGUAACACGGUAUUCUGGAAAGGAUCCCAGAACAGGAAAAAAACAUUAAGUAAAAACUAGGAGUAUCUAACUAAAGCAUGGGCUUUAGUUAGUAAUGAUAUAUCAAUUAUGGUUCGUUAGUUGUAGCAAAUUUAUCAUACUAAUAUAAGAUGUCAACAAUAGGGGAAGCUGGGUGCAGCAUGUAUAGGAAGUCUCUGUACCAUCCUCUCAAUUUUUCUGCAAAUCUAAAACUGUCCUAAAAAAUAAAUUCUACUUAAAAAAAAAAAAAGGUAAAGUGGCAAGAGGAUAGAGGGAGAUCGGAAGGCUUGAGUCUAGAAGGUAGACAUCCUAACCUUAAACUAUGAAUGCCCAUUACAGAAGAGAGACCAUAGAAAAACAAAGUAUAUGAGGUACUUGGAAACUCUAAUACGGUCAUCCAAAGAGAAAUGUUCACCAACAAUGGCAAGAAAGAUAGAACAGGACAAGAAUUAAACUAAUAUUUGUAAUAUUAAGCCUCUUCCACUGGCUUUUACCAGAAUGUAUUCUUAGUAUCUUUAAGGAUUUAAGAAAUUUUACAAAUUUUGUGAAAUCUCAAAUUUUCAAAUCACCAGGCUUCCACCAGGACAUUUGGGAAAGGCACAUUUGGGUAAGAGCUUAUAGACAUAUAACUUGACUGUUGAAAGAUGAGAAGUUAAGUGAUGGCUUCUUUUUUAUUCUUAUCUAUUCUUUUUUGUAAUUUCAGUAAAUGUCUUUAGAUCCCUAGUCCUAGAAAUACACACAGACAAGAAAAGCCAAGAGGCUGAAGGAAACAAAUGAGGCAGGAAGGGCCUCAGCUGGCACGGAAGUCACAGUUAAUCUUGCUGGAGCCACCUGCUGAGGGUCAUGAGUCCUAAAAUGCUCCACUAAGAGUCCACUUAGUCACCACAACCCUAUGAAGCAGGUAUUAUCAGCACCCCCAUGUUGAAGAUAAGGACACUGAAGCUCAGGUUACAUACCAUUGCCAGCGGACCCAGCAGUGGAGCUCCGAGGACAGUGCCCCUAACCACUGUGCUACAAGGCCACUAUGGAAGAAUCCAAAGAUGACCAAGAGGAUGGCUUCUAUACCUGAUUACCCUACAUCAUAUUUUAGAUUAAAGUAUACUGUUUUUA
Long non-coding RNA from Felis catus (domestic cat), 3704 nucleotides. RefSeq lists it as uncharacterized. Lineage: Eukaryota; Metazoa; Chordata; Mammalia; Carnivora; Felidae. The transcript has 2 exons. The record is from RefSeq and is a predicted model, not a curated record.